This 241-nucleotide ribosomal RNA is filed under the name uncultured Actinomycetales bacterium. RNAcentral's name for it is "partial 16S ribosomal RNA". It matches the Rfam family "Bacterial small subunit ribosomal RNA", at positions 89 to 334 of the family's 1533-position model. Lineage: Bacteria; Bacillati; Actinomycetota; Actinomycetes; Actinomycetales. The record is from RNAcentral.
ACUCGAGUGGCGAACGGGUGAGUAACACGUGGGUGAUCUGCCCUGCACUUCGGGAUAAGCCUGGGAAACUGGGUCUAAUACCGGAUAGGAGCCAUUUUUAGUGUGAUGGUUGGAAAGUUUUUCGGUGUAGGAUGAGCUCGCGGCCUAUCAGCUUGUUGGUGGGGUAAUGGCCUACCAAGGCGGCGACGGGUAGCCGGCCUGAGAGGGUGGGCGGCCACAUUGGGACUGAGAUACGGCCCAG